AACGAACGCUGGCGGCAUGCCUAACACAUGCAAGUCGAACGAGACCUUCGGGUCUAGUGGCGCACGGGUGCGUAACGCGUGGGAACCUGCCCUUAGGUUCGGAAUAACUCCCCGAAAGGGGUGCUAAUACCGGAUAAUGUCUUCGGACCAAAGAUUUAUCGCCUUUGGAUGGGCCCGCGUUGGAUUAGCUAGUUGGUAGGGUAAAAGCCUACCAAGGAGACGAUCCAUAGCUGGUCUGAGAGGAGGAUCAGCCACACUGGGGCUGAGACACAGCCCAGACUCCUACGGGAGGGAGCGGUGGGGAAUAUUGGACAAUGGGCGAAAGCCUGAGCCAGCAAGGCCGAGUGAGUGAUGAAGGGGUUAGGGUUGUAAAGCUCUUUUACCCGGGAUGAUAAUGACGGUACCGGGAGAAUAAGCGCCGGCUAACUCCGUG
This 433-nucleotide ribosomal RNA is filed under the name uncultured bacterium. RNAcentral's name for it is "partial 16S ribosomal RNA". It matches the Rfam family "Bacterial small subunit ribosomal RNA", at positions 29 to 507 of the family's 1533-position model. The record is from RNAcentral.